This 402-nucleotide ribosomal RNA is filed under the name uncultured bacterium. RNAcentral describes it as "bacterial SSU rRNA". It matches the Rfam family "Bacterial small subunit ribosomal RNA", at positions 29 to 429 of the family's 1533-position model. The record is from RNAcentral.
AUUGAACGCUGGCGGCGUGCCUAACACAUGCAAGUCGAGCGGUAACAGGUGUAGCAAUACAUGCUGACGAGCGGCGAACGGGUGAGUAAUGCUUCGGAAUCUACCCAAUGGUGGGGAAUAACCAGCCGAAAGGUUGGCUAAUACCGCAUACGUCCCACGGGAGAAAGCAGGGGAUCGCAAGACCUUGCGCCAAUGGAUGAGCCGAAGUCGGAUUAGCUAGUUGGAGGGUAACGGCCUACCAAGGCGACGAUCCGUAGCUGGUCUGAGAGGACGACCAGCCACACUGGGACUGAGACACGGCCCAGACUCCUACGGGAGGCAGCAGUGGGGAAUAUUGGACAAUGGGGGAAACCCGUGAUCCAGCGACGCCGCGUGUGUGAAGAAGGCCUGCGGGGUUGUAAA